GCGCCCGUAGCUCAAUUGGAUAGAGCAACAGACUUCGGAUCUGUAGGUUUGGGGUUCGAAUCCCUUCGGGCGCACCA
Molecule: transfer RNA, 77 nt
Filed under: Campylobacterota bacterium
Lineage: Bacteria; Pseudomonadati; Campylobacterota
Description: tRNA-Arg
Rfam family: tRNA
About the family: Transfer RNA (tRNA) molecules are approximately 80 nucleotides in length. Their secondary structure includes four short double-helical elements and three loops (D, anti-codon, and T loops).
Source: RNAcentral